UUAGUGUUCGAGGUUCCGAAGUACGUUUUGAGUUUCAGAAAAUCACCGUUUGACUUGUUGUGGAACCCGAUCAUUGUGGAUUUGUAUGGAUUUGAUUGAUUGACUCUUGCUGAGCAAUUUUAAAAUAAGCUAAGGACCUAAGGUGUGGCUUUAGCUGUUGAGCAACUUGUGGAGCACGGACUCAGUAACAAUGCAAUAAUGGUUUAGAGUUUUCAUAUGGCUGCCUUAAAUUUAAAGUAUUCAUACGUGUAAUAAUUUCUUCUAAUAAGUUUAUAUAAAAGUUUUAAAUUUUUCUGUAUUUCUUCGUAUCAUUUUAUUUAAUUCUUUUGGUCAAGUGCCUUACAUACUCGUAAACCCUAGAAU
This is a long non-coding RNA of Humulus lupulus (European hop), 363 nucleotides long. RefSeq lists it as uncharacterized. NCBI's taxonomy places the organism in Eukaryota, Viridiplantae, Streptophyta, Magnoliopsida, Rosales, Cannabaceae. The record is from RefSeq and is a predicted model, not a curated record. The transcript has 3 exons.